RNAcentral lists this long non-coding RNA (450 nucleotides) under Ananas comosus (pineapple). RNAcentral's name for it is "long non-coding RNA (ACOM_LNC039386)". The record is from RNAcentral. Lineage: Eukaryota; Viridiplantae; Streptophyta; Magnoliopsida; Poales; Bromeliaceae.
AACUUUCGAAAUUCAAAUCACCCCCCUCGCUCUCCCCAAAACGAAGGUUUUGCCCUAACUUUCUCACCCCUGCCGCCUACCACUGAUCCCAGCACCGAUCCCUUUCCUUCCUCCUCUUCCCUUCUGGCCAUUCGCCGAAUGCCAUCGGAAGCCCCCGCGUGGCCACAUCGAAGAUCGAUUUCUUCACUAUUCAGAAAUCAGAACCCUCCGGUCCUUCCUUCCUCAACGAGUCCGCCCGACCUCGCCUACACCCCCGGCGCCCCGCCCGACCUCGCCUACGCCUGCGCCGCCGCCGGGUCUGCGCCGUCGCGUCUGCGCCGUCUCCGCCCACCUCCUCGCCCCGCCCCUCCUCUCCCUCCUCCUCCUCGGCCUCUCCCAGGCUCUCAGCUUAGAGGUAACCUCUUCGCCCCUCUCCUCUUCUAAUCCCCGAUACCUUUCGCCGCUACUCCG